GACAGCCUGUCUUCUGUAAGUCUACACAUUGGAUACCAUCAUUUAGCUUUUCCUGAGUUUUAUUUGAAGUUCGGCAUUACAUUUAGAUGCUUAGUUAUGGAGCUUUGAGCAUGCUUAGAGGUAUAGGGUCAGUCCUGUCAAAAUCUUGCAUGGCUCUUCCUCUGCUAAGUUGACAGUUGUGCUUUUAUUUUCUAAAGGAGUACCAUUUGCAUAGUAGAUGUCACAGUCAGUUAAUAGACUUUGGAGUCUAGUCAUGUGGUUGGAUAGUUUGAUUGCAACUUUUUAAGCUCAGAAUAUUCUUCUUUAGUCCGAAGAAGCAGUUAAAAAUUGGAUUACGGUAGACAUAAAACUUAAUAAAGUGAUUCCUGGCGUAUUGAAUUGGAUUUGAAAUAUUCUAAGGAUGUUAAUGGUUCAAAUUAAAAUUAAAUUUCUGUAUUUUUUUGGUAAAUUACAUGAUUCCAGUUUACCUAUUUGGAACAGUUUUUUACCCUUAUAUGUUCUCUUAUAUGGAAUGAAAUAGGGCUGGAUUUCGUAACUCUACUAAUUUGCUUCAGCUUGCUGGUCAUUAAGAUAUAAAAGACUUGACCUAAUUCUCUUUCAUCCUCCAUACAACUCGUGCACAUGUGUCUUUAUUUUGAUUCAAAGAUUAGCCUAUCCCAGAAUUCAUGUUUGGGCCCACCUUGAUCUAAGGCUUAGAAUAAUACCCGCAGACUUCAUUAUUAAGUUAGCUGGCUUGGCUCCAUCAGUGACUGAUAACCAGGUCUCUGCAUUCGUCACUUCAGACUUGGUGAUGGGAAAAGUUUAAUUGAUAUGAUGAUUUCUGUUUCAAUAUCAAGGAGACUUGCACUGUCUGGCAUGGUGUGAAACCAAUGAAUGAUUCUGAAAGAAUUUGAUUUCUUGGGUCCUGCUGGUUUCAGAAAAUGAACACAUAAAUUAUCUUGUAACUUGAUGACAAAGCUGGAAUUUAUUUUGGCUGAUGUGGAUUUUUUUUUCCAACUGCAUGUAGAGGAGUAACUCUCUGUUCAGCAACACUAGAAAAAUAUGCAGUUUGUUAUUUAUGGUCCUAAACUGCAUGUUUUCGAUGAUAGCCAGAAAGAAAAACUUAAAUAGCAAGAAAUAAUGGCAUUUAUAAGAGCUCAAAUACAGGACCGAACCUGUUAUCAUGGAGAGUGAAACCUGUUGAUAUGUAGCAAAUAAGAUGGGAGAGUGUUAGAUUGUAAUUGGUUGUUGACUUGUUAGCUAUUCUGUUUGCUGUUGUGUGUGUAUUAGGUUAUAUCAACUGGCAAGAUCUUUGUAUUUUCUUAGUCAAUUGGUUAAUGAUAUCUGUUAUUCUCUGAUUCUCUCUCUCUCUCUCUCUCUCUCUCUCUCUCUCUUUCUGUUUUCUCUCUAUCUUUCCCUUGCGAUUUUUUUCUCUAACCAGACAUACAAAUUUUACUUGUAUUACUUGUUAAGUUAGAAAUCUAAUCUUUAUUCCAUGAUUAGAAAGAGGAUUAUAAUUGGCGCCACCAUAUCUGCACUGAGGAAUUGAGUGGGGAAUCGACAGAUAAAAGAGAUGUUCAAGAGCCUUAGGGUUUUGGUAUUGGUCACGCUUUAAUAUGUUGGUAGAAAUGACAAUGUUUGUGUCAGGUACCAGGCUCAUUAAUAGCUUAAGCACCUUAGAAGAACAGCAGCGGAAGUAAUUUGGAAUGAAAUAACUAGAGUAAGAAAUGGUAGGAAGAAUAGUUUAGGAAGAAGAAUUGAGCAUAAGAGGGACAAAAUAUUUAGUGAGAAAUAAGAGAAUUCUUGUAUUAAUAAUCAUGAAUAAAUACAGUUCUAUUCUCCUCUAAACUAAUAAGCAAUCAUUAGCUAUAUUCUGACAGCUGAUAAUUGGCUAAAGGACAAAAUGAAAUAACAACUUUUGCUAAAAGACAAACAAUGAAGGAAAAUUACAAACAACAAGAAUUACACCAGCUGGAAUUUCUGUUAACAAACUUGUAGAAACAUUCUAAAAUAUCUGCCAUCAUAUUUAUGCCCUUUUCACGAUUCAAUCAACCUUUCAUAAUUGCUGACGUUUCUCCUGAAUGGGAUAUCUCUGCUGACAUGGCAUUCUUCUGUUGACAGUCCAUGACAGUUUGUACAAAAGCUAGUAAUCUUCUAUUUCAACUGGUUGGAUCCAACUGUUUUCUAGUUUAUGAUCCAUGAUCUUAACCAAGGGAUUGUUUUAUUUAAUUUGGAAUCUGUGACUAGCACACUCAAAGGCACAUCUGGAAACAAAUGCGUUAUAGUGGGUUUUUAUUGUUUUAUUUUUUUCAGAUUAGGGUUGAUUUACACUUAACAGUUUCUUUCACAAGCCAUACUACUUACUGCUGUAUCUAUGAGAAGCUUUUCUGUGUCAAACUAAUUUUGUUUUGCAAAGGCUUGGAAACAGCUUCUUCGCCAAAAUGCUAUGGGAAGGAUUCAUAUAAAUUCGCCCAUCCUCCCCUGCCAGAGAGCACUUUGUGCACUGAGUUGGCUAUUUUAACUUGAUCUCCUUUUGUUUUAUGGAAACUGAUUGUUUCUGCAGUGAGAAACCUCUGCUAUGGACAAUUGGUGUAUUUGACCGUAUUUGACAUGAUGGACCGAAUUUAAAUUAUUUUUUCGAGGUUUAUUUGAUCUUUAUUUCUUUGGCUUGUGUUCAUCAUGACUAUCUCUCUCUCUGAAAGCAUCUUCGGUUUUACAUCCAAAAUCUAGCUUUGCGUCACUCGGAUAGCUUCUUCUUUCCCUGUAUGCUGACACUCGCUGAUUCUCUUUUCUACUCUUUCAGUCACAAGUUGAUUAGUCUUGCUUAGUAGCCCACAGCAGUAAAAUUUCUUUGUUUUCAUGUUCUAUGAAGUGCUUAGAUAUUAUUAAUUUCACUAUGUUUGAUGAGUUGUUACUUUGUCUGCUGACUUCUUUAUUUUUUUCUUUUACCAUGUAG
This 2935-nucleotide long non-coding RNA is filed under the name Ricinus communis (castor bean). RNAcentral's name for it is "long non-coding RNA (RCOM_LNC001199)". Lineage: Eukaryota; Viridiplantae; Streptophyta; Magnoliopsida; Malpighiales; Euphorbiaceae. The record is from RNAcentral.